UUAUAACUCAGUUGGUAGAACAUGAGACUUUUAAUCUCAGGGUUGUGGGUUUGAGCCCCCCCAUUGGGCAAAA
Non-coding RNA from Podarcis lilfordi (Lilford's wall lizard), 73 nucleotides. The record is from the annotation of a GenBank genome assembly. Lineage: Eukaryota; Metazoa; Chordata; Lepidosauria; Squamata; Lacertidae.